This is a long non-coding RNA of Ricinus communis (castor bean), 2379 nucleotides long. RefSeq lists it as uncharacterized. The record is from RefSeq and is a predicted model, not a curated record. Lineage: Eukaryota; Viridiplantae; Streptophyta; Magnoliopsida; Malpighiales; Euphorbiaceae. The transcript has 2 exons.
AGCAGGAGGAUUUGUCAAGGUGACCCACAGUUCCCUUAUUUGUUCAUUUUAUGUAUGGAGCGCCUCUCUCACUUGAUUAAUCUCGAAGUUGCCAACGAUAAUUGGAAGCCCAUCACAUUAAGCAAAGGUGGCCCUCCCAUCUCGCACUUUUUCUUUGCUGACGACUUGCUUUUAUUUGGUGAAGCAUCAGUUGCUCAAGCUCAAGUAAUUGAGAAAGUGUUGCAUAAGUUCUGCAUAGCCUCGGGUCAGCGGGUUAGCAACAGUAAAACCCGCAUCUUCUUCUCUUAGAAUUCGGAUGGGUCUAUUCCCAAUGAUAUCUGUCACACCUUGAAUUUUUCUAAAAUCCAAGACUUGGGCAAAUAUCUUGGAGCUAUGGUCUUUCACGAUAGGGUUGGCUAGUGAUAGGAUUGUGUAAGACUUUGUCUGGGACUCUACGACGGAUAAAAGAAAGAUGCAUCUCCUAAGCUGGGAGAAGAUCUGUGCCCCGAAAUCUAAGGGCAGUCUAGGCCUUCGUAAAGCUAUGGAGAUUAACCAUGUCUUGCUCAUGAAACUAGGGUGGAAUUUAAUCUCGAAGCCUAAUGCACUUUGGGUUCGAGUCCUCCUGAACAAGUACAACAAAAAGUCAUAUCCCUGAUGUCUCCCUAAUCCUAAACCAGGUUGCUCUAACAUUUAGCGGGGUAUAUGUCAUUCUUGGCCUCAUGUCAUGCACGGACUUUCUUGGAGCAUUGGGAAUGGGCAACAGGCUCGUUUUUGGAUUGACGAUUGGCUUGGAGGGUUUGGUCCAUUGCUUGCUUAUGCCACUCAAGAAAUUCCAGGUGAUGUCAAGUUUAAACCAAUUUCUUUUUUUGUUUUUCUAAUAGAAACUGGAAUUAGAGUUGCUUUCAUUCGUUGUUACCUUCCUUCGUUUGUUUAAGGCUAGAUGCAGUUCUCCCCCCUUCGUGCAACAAUGAUGGAGAUCUUGUUAUAUGGAACUUCUCAAAGUCUCUGAUGUUUUCCGUCAGCUCAGCUCAUGACCUACUCCAUGGCGACAUGCAUUUGAAUGAUAAUCCCCUCUAGAGUAACAUUUGGAAAUGGAAGGGUCCCCGACGAAUAAGAGCAUUCUUAUUGCUCAUGGCGCAAAAUAGGCUGCCCGCUGCUGACUUAUGCUUCAAGAGAAAGGUGGUUUCCUCCAACUCUUGUUCGCGAUGUGGCACCAUUAAGGAACCAACUGUUCAUGCAGUUCGGGACUGCCCUUUUGUGCAACAAAUUUGGAGACUUGUCAUUCCUAUGGAAAUGUGGAACUGCUUUAAUUCCCUUCCUCUGAAAGAUUGGAUUGAUAGAAAUUUAAAAAACAAGAGUCAUAUCAUCCAGAAUAAAUAUAGCUGGUACCUUGUGUUUGGAGUAGUUACUUGGCAGCUUUGGUUUUGGAGAAACCAAUUUGUGUUUGAUAAUCUUUUUCAUCUUACCAAUGAUCCUCUGUAGAAAAUUCAGCAGAGAUGUGAUGAGAUCUGUCGAGCUCAAGUAAGCUAUGGUUCUCUUUGAAUCCAAGCAAGAAAUUCUGAUAGUUUAAAAGCUCGUUAGCAACCCCCUACUGGUACGGUUAAACUUAACAUUAAUGGAGCUUGUGUUGAGUUUGGCGAUAGAGCUGUUGCUGGGGGUGUCAUUUGUGAUGCCAAUGGUUGCUGGUUGAAGGGCUUUACAUUCAAAAUUGGCAGUUGCUCUCCUUUGGACGCAGAGCUUUGGGGGCCCUUAGUGGUCUUGACAUUGCUUGGAACCUUGGUUUUAGAAAUAUCACUCUUAAAAUGGAUCCUACUUUAGCAGUGGACUACAUUUAUAGGAGGAAUACAGCUCAUAAUUCGCCAAAGAAAUUGUUAAAAGAAUUCAUGGUCUUCUGUCCAGAGACAUUGUAUAUUGCGUUCAUGUGUUUCAGGAGGCAAAUUCAUGUGUAUCAGGACUACCUCUGCCUUGAACUCUCAUUCGAGUUUUUAGAUGCUGGACAAUCCUCCUGCUCAACUACUGUCAUUUUUAAUCUGAGAUUCCUUAGACAUCGCUAAUAGCCAUUUUACUUCUCAUGUCUAAUUUUCGUUUUACUUGGGACUGUGCCCCCUUUUCAUACCAAAAAAAACCCUCUAUUUUCUUUUCUCUCUCACCACCACUCUAUCUCCUCUCUCACUCUAGUAUCACCGCCAACUCUACUCAACUCAACAUAUACCCAAAAUCAAUCAGUGAAUAAGCUCAUCCUAUUCUUAUCCACUGUUUCUUUUUCUUUCUUAUUUUUUUCUUUAUUUUUAAUCAACUAUGCAACUAACUUUCUUGAAAUAAGGUCCAUUGUUGUGCAGCACAUACAACCUUAUUGUCUUUAACUGCUAUGGCAAAAUAAUUUGCUUUAUUAUUGACCAA